Molecule: ribosomal RNA, 200 nt
Filed under: uncultured bacterium
Lineage: Bacteria
Description: partial 16S ribosomal RNA
Rfam family: Bacterial small subunit ribosomal RNA
Source: RNAcentral
GACGAACGCUGGCGGCGUGCUUAACACAUGCAAGUCGAGCGGUAAGGCCCUUUCGGGGGUACGACGAGCGGCGAACGGGUGAGUAACACGUGGGUGGACCUGCCUUUAGUCUCUGGGAGUAAGCCUGGGAAACGUAGGGUCGUAAUACCGGAUAUGACUCCAUGACGCAUGUUGUGGGGUGGGAAAGCCUUGUGCGGCUA